This 253-nucleotide ribosomal RNA is filed under the name uncultured bacterium. RNAcentral's name for it is "partial 16S ribosomal RNA". It matches the Rfam family "Bacterial small subunit ribosomal RNA", at positions 524 to 776 of the family's 1533-position model. The record is from RNAcentral.
UACGGAGGGGGCAAGCGUUGUUCGGAAUUACUGGGCGUAAAGGGUGCGUAGGCGGUUCUCUAAGUCGGAUGUGAAAACUCUGGGCUCAACCCAGAGCCUGCAUCCGAAACUGGAGGACUAGGGUACUGGAGGGGAAAGCGGAAUUCCUGGUGUAGCGGUGAAAUGCGUAGAUAUCAGGAGGAACACCGGUGGCGAAGGCGGCUUUCUGGACAGUAACCGACGCUGAGGCACGAAAGCUAGGGGAGCAAACAGG